CACACCCCAGUGUGACCUGUGACACCAUGAUCCAGGGCUGAGAAGGAGGCAAUACUCAGAGUGUAGUCUACCUUCUCAGGAAUGCGUGGGUGAGCACCGAGGGAGAGAAUAUUCUCUGGGCCUCAGAUGCAAACACAAAGGAGAGGGAAGGCCACACCAAAGCCCAGGAGAGACUAAUGCAGGGCACAGCCAUGGAGCCGGUCAGGAGACCUACGCGGGUCAGCAGGCAUCUGCUGCAUGAACUGUAGUCCCGCCCAUGACAAGGGGAGUGGCCUCAUGUGGCCCCCUCCAUCCAUCCUGCCUCUCAGAGCCCAGCGCAUGACCAGGCAGAGCCUGGAGGACCCCCGCAUCUGCCAGGAGGGCUGCCUGCCAUCCUUCCUUCUCUGCAAAAAAGGAGAAGGGAGAGGCUGGCACCCCUGCGGCCUUGCCUGCCCUUGGUGUGCAGACCCAGCCACUCUGGGGCGCCGGGGGGCCGGAGGCAGAGGGCAUAAGCUCUGUGCAAACAUCCUGCCUUCUCCCCAGGAUAUUGUCUUUAAUAAAAGACCAUGGAAAUGUCA
Long non-coding RNA from Suricata suricatta (meerkat), 557 nucleotides. RefSeq lists it as uncharacterized. Lineage: Eukaryota; Metazoa; Chordata; Mammalia; Carnivora; Herpestidae. The record is from RefSeq and is a predicted model, not a curated record. The transcript is spliced from 2 exons.